GUCACAAGAUACUACAGCACUGAACCAUCAGCUUCCUCUGUAAUGUACAUACCAAUCACAUCCACUCCUCGAUCCACCAUGCAUCCAUACACAUAGCAUGCAUAACACUAGCACGGAGUAGUACUUUACAACACAAAUUAAGUGCAUUGUCGACCAUUUCAACUAGAGAGACAUAUCGUCCCAUCAAUCAAUUUUACAUGCAUGCAUCAAUCUGCCUCCAGCACCAGCAGGCACACGUCGACUUAAUUAGCCGGAGAAGGUCUGGAUGAUGGUGUUGUGCCACGGGUCAGACAGGUGCUGGAACAGGUUGUCGAGCGGCCCUUUUCCGGUGACCGCGUGCUGCACCGAGAAACCCAGGUACGCCAGCAUCGCCAGCCUCCCUACAAAAUCACAAAACGACCAAUUAAAUUCCUUUUCCGUUUGAGAUCUGGCCGUAGGAACUACUCCAGUAACUGGAAGAAGGGCAUGUAUGUACCGUUGGCGAUCUCCUUCUCCUUGGCCUCGAGCGUGGGCGCGAAGUUGAGCGGGUUGAAGACGCUGCCGGGGUAUCCGCACUCGUGGGGCGGCAGGCUGUAGCUCUUGAAGAUGGGGUCCUGGUUGACGCAGCCGGGCUCCUUGAUGUCCUGCCACCGCCGGAUCUCCACGUAGUGGAACAGGAUGAACUCCACGACGAAGAGCGUGGAGGAGGAGGCGAAGUAUGUGGACU
This 706-nucleotide long non-coding RNA is filed under the name Brachypodium distachyon (stiff brome). Its description in RNAcentral is "long non-coding RNA (BDIS_LNC003694)". Lineage: Eukaryota; Viridiplantae; Streptophyta; Magnoliopsida; Poales; Poaceae. The record is from RNAcentral.